Non-coding RNA from Cinara cedri, 233 nucleotides. The record is from the annotation of a GenBank genome assembly. Lineage: Eukaryota; Metazoa; Arthropoda; Insecta; Hemiptera; Aphididae.
UAAAUUGUCAAAACAAUAUUUUAUUUUUUGAAUAAAUAUCGAGCGUAGCCAUGGGUAAUUGGAUACACCUUGUACAUACAGGCAAUAAGGUAUUAGUAUAAUUUUUCCACAUCGCUUUGUGAAUUCUCAACGAUUUCGAAUUGCCGCAAAGACAAACACAUACGUCGGAUUAAUAUUAUUAUACACUCGACAAAGUCAAAAUAAUUACGCGUCGUCGUCGUCGUCGUCGUUGU